Molecule: ribosomal RNA, 573 nt
Filed under: Pellonula leonensis (smalltoothed pellonula)
Lineage: Eukaryota; Metazoa; Chordata; Actinopteri; Clupeiformes; Clupeidae
Description: partial 16S ribosomal RNA
Rfam family: Bacterial large subunit ribosomal RNA
Source: RNAcentral
CGCCUCCUGCCCACAACAGUAUAGGAGGUCCCGCCUGCCCUGUGACCAAAAGUUUAACGGCCGCGGUAUUUUAACCGUGCAAAGGUAGCGCAAUCAAUUGUCUUUUAAAUGGAGACCUGUAUGAAUGGCAUAACGAGGGUUUAACUGUCUCUUUUUUCCAGUCAAUGAAACUGAUCUGCCCGUGCAGAAGCGGGCAUAUUAACACAAGACGAGAAGACCCUAUGGAGCUUUAGACGCCCACCAACUAUGAAAAGAGACCAGAUUAAUGGAAACCCAAACAACAUAGCCCUGGCACAAACGUCUUCGGUUGGGGCGACCACGGGGGAAAAUAAAGCCCCCAAGAGGACAGGGGAACACCCUAGAACCAAGAGUUACAGCUCUAAGUCACAAAACAUUUGACCGAUUAAUGAUCCGGCCCACGCCGAUCAACGGACCAAGUUACCCUAGGGAUAACAGCGCAAUCCCCUCCCAGAGUCCAUAUCGACGAGGGGGUUUACGACCUCGAUGUUGGAUCAGGACAUCCUAAUGGUGCAGCCGCUAUUAAGGGUUCGUUUGUUCAACGAUUAAAGUCCU